UAGUGGCGAACGGGUGAGUAACACGUGGGCAAUCUGCCCUUCACUCUGGGACAAGCCCUGGAAACGGGGUCUAAUACCGGAUAUCACUCCUGCAGGCAUCUGCGGGAGUUGAAAGCUCCGGCGGUGAAGGAUGAGCCCGCGGCUCUAUCAGCUUGUUGGUGAGGUAAUGGCUCACCAAGGCGACGACGGGUAGCCGGCCUGAGAGGGCGACCGGCCACACUGGGACUGAGACACGGCCCAGACUCCUACGGGAGGCAGCAGUGGGGAAUAUUGCACAAUGGGCGAAAGCCUGAUGCAGCGACGCCGCGUGAGGGAUGACGGCCUUCGGGUUGUAAACCUCUUUCAGCAGGGAAGAAGCGAAAGUGACGGUACCUGCAGAAGAAGCGCCGGCUAACUACGUGCCAGCAGCCGCGGUAAUACGUAGGGCGCAAGCGNUGUCCGGAAUUAUUGGGCGUAAAGAGCUCGUAGGCGGCUUGUCACGUCGGGUGUGAAAGCCCGGGGCUUAACCCCGGGUCUGCAUUCGAUACGGGCUAGCUAGAGUGUGGUAGGGGAGAUCGGAAUUNCU
RNAcentral lists this ribosomal RNA (565 nucleotides) under Streptomyces sp. 411A03. RNAcentral describes it as "bacterial SSU rRNA". It matches the Rfam family "Bacterial small subunit ribosomal RNA", at positions 93 to 671 of the family's 1533-position model. Lineage: Bacteria; Bacillati; Actinomycetota; Actinomycetes; Kitasatosporales; Streptomycetaceae. The record is from RNAcentral.